UCCGAAUUGGUGUAGUGGCUAACAUUUGACGCUCUCAUAAUGAGAAAUCAGUGGAACCGUCAAGCCCGGGGUUCGAUUCCCCGAUUCGGAG
This 91-nucleotide transfer RNA is filed under the name Annulohypoxylon maeteangense. RNAcentral's name for it is "tRNA-Glu". It matches the Rfam family "tRNA". From Rfam's summary of the family: Transfer RNA (tRNA) molecules are approximately 80 nucleotides in length. Their secondary structure includes four short double-helical elements and three loops (D, anti-codon, and T loops). Lineage: Eukaryota; Fungi; Ascomycota; Sordariomycetes; Xylariales; Hypoxylaceae. The record is from RNAcentral.